This is a long non-coding RNA of Neofelis nebulosa (Clouded leopard), 496 nucleotides long. RefSeq lists it as uncharacterized. The transcript has 2 exons. The record is from RefSeq and is a predicted model, not a curated record. Lineage: Eukaryota; Metazoa; Chordata; Mammalia; Carnivora; Felidae.
CCCCCCACAAUGGUAGGCACCUAGAAACAGGGACUACAUGUUAUUUCUCUUAUAGUGUUACAUUGGUCAGCGGAGUAUCUCUUGAGCAGACGCUUAUUUAUAAUUUUUACUUGUCCGGCAACCAGAAAUGUGUGAACUCAUUUUGAACAAUGGCUUCCAACCCCUGCUGAGAUGAAAAUGACAAAAUCACAGUGAUUGGACUGACCACUCAUAUAUAAAGAUUGCAGGUGUCACUUCUGUCAUCACUAUGAACAUCAAAACUGCUCACCAGCGAUUUAAUGGACUUCUCCGAGACACUAUCCUGAACAUGCAUAUAUCAAAGAAUUCUGAGCAUUUUAUAUUCCAAGGUAGAAAUUUACAUGAGUUGACAAUACAUUUAGAAAUGAGAAGCUACUGUUUCCUCCCAUCUUCAGUGCCAGUUUACAUCGACAAAAGAAAAAAUUAAAGAAAAUUGAGAUUUCCUUUAAUAAAUACAUAUUACCAACUUUUUCUCAUA